RNAcentral lists this ribosomal RNA (59 nucleotides) under uncultured archaeon. RNAcentral describes it as "partial 16S ribosomal RNA". The record is from RNAcentral.
AACCUCCGCAAUGCACGAAAGUGCGACGGGGGGACCCCGAGUGCCAUCCCCUUGGGAUG